Molecule: ribosomal RNA, 219 nt
Filed under: Bradyrhizobium sp.
Lineage: Bacteria; Pseudomonadati; Pseudomonadota; Alphaproteobacteria; Hyphomicrobiales; Nitrobacteraceae
Description: partial 16S ribosomal RNA
Rfam family: Bacterial small subunit ribosomal RNA
Source: RNAcentral
CAACUUGAGAGUUUGAUCCUGGCUCAGAGCGAACGCUGGCGGCAGGCUUAACACAUGCAAGUCGAGCGGGCGUAGCAAUACGUCAGCGGCAGACGGGUGAGUAACGCGUGGGAACAUACCUUUUGGUUCGGAACAACACAGGGAAACUUGUGCUAAUACCGGAUAAGCCCUUACGGGGAAAGAUUUAUCGCCAAAAGAUCGGCCCGCGUCUGAUUAGCU